ACAUCUCCCCCUGACCUAUUUAAUUGGGGGUAGGCCCUGCCCAGUGGAGUACUUCUAAACGGAAAGGAUAACUUUUAAAGUAGCGUAGUAAUUUGUCCCUUAAUUAGGGUCUGUAUGAACGGGUCGACGUGGGAUAACUGUCUUGAAAAAAUAAUUCGAAAUUUUCUUCUUAGUGAAAAGCACUAAGAUAAAUUUAAAAGACGAGAAGACCCCGUCGAGCUUAUGAGAAAAUGGGAUUAAUCCUUCUUCCUAUUUUCCAGCUUUGCUGGGGUAACAAAGGAGAAAUUAAACCUCCUAUUUAUAAUAUAGAUCCCCUAUUUAGUGAUAAAAAGAAAAAGCUACCGCGGGGAUAACAGCGCAAGACAGCCAGAGAGUUCUUAUAUAAGGUUGUAAGUGCGACCUCGAUGUUGGAUUAAGGUGGGCUCAAGGGUGCAGCAGCUCUUGAAGCGGGACUGUUCGUCCUUAAAUCCUUAAC
Molecule: ribosomal RNA, 475 nt
Filed under: Fulvia sp. IEO-CD-CAN16/2180
Lineage: Eukaryota; Metazoa; Mollusca; Bivalvia; Cardiida; Cardiidae
Description: partial small subunit ribosomal RNA
Rfam family: Bacterial large subunit ribosomal RNA
Source: RNAcentral